This 254-nucleotide ribosomal RNA is filed under the name uncultured bacterium. Its description in RNAcentral is "partial 16S ribosomal RNA". It matches the Rfam family "Bacterial small subunit ribosomal RNA", at positions 524 to 776 of the family's 1533-position model. The record is from RNAcentral.
UACGUAGGGUCCGAGCGUUGUCCGGAGUUACUGGGCGUAAAGCGCGCGCAGGUGGUUCCCUAAGCCCGGCGUGAAAGCCCCCGGCUCAACCGGGGAGGGUCGUCGGGGACUGGAGAACUUGAGGGCGGCAGGGGCUGGUGGAAUCCCCGGUGUAGUGGUGAAAUGCGUAGAGAUGUGGAGGAACACCGAUGGCGAAGGCAGCCUCCUGGGCCGACACUGACGCUGAGGGCACGAAAGCGUGGGGAGCAAACAGG